RNAcentral lists this transfer RNA (72 nucleotides) under Camelus bactrianus (Bactrian camel). It matches the Rfam family "tRNA". From Rfam's summary of the family: Transfer RNA (tRNA) molecules are approximately 80 nucleotides in length. Their secondary structure includes four short double-helical elements and three loops (D, anti-codon, and T loops). Lineage: Eukaryota; Metazoa; Chordata; Mammalia; Artiodactyla; Camelidae. The record is from Rfam by way of RNAcentral. RNAcentral also lists the same sequence under 2 other names.
GGAGGUAUAGCUCAAUGGUAGAUUGUGGACUUGGCAUGCACGAGGUCCUGGGUUCAAUUCCCAGUACCUCCG